Long non-coding RNA from Oreochromis niloticus (Nile tilapia), 1333 nucleotides. RefSeq lists it as uncharacterized. Lineage: Eukaryota; Metazoa; Chordata; Actinopteri; Cichliformes; Cichlidae. The record is from RefSeq and is a predicted model, not a curated record. The transcript has 3 exons.
AGCGCUCACCUGGCUGGUACCAAGAAGGUUCAGGAAGUGCUCGCCAGACCUGGAGUCCUGGAGAGGUUCUUCCCGGACCAGCCUCAAGCUGUGCAGCAGAUCUGAGCGACAUUGGCUGACCUCUACACUCUAGACAUGGGUGCAGAGAGGGACAAAACAGUAUCAAUGGCCUUGGCAGCAGCAGAACGGUUUGUCUUGAAGCCUCAGUGAGAAGGAGGAGGCAGGGUAAAGACAUGGUGAUAAAUGAGUGUGUGGGCCAUCUGCUGAGGACCAAGAACUCAGGACACUCAGACGGGGGCGUCGCAGCAGGAGUCACCGUGCUCCACAAUGCUCUGCUGUCCUGAGAUUUCACACUCCUGCCUGCACAUACAAACCACAGUGAAGUCAAAGUUCCACCUGCACCUCCACCUGUUCUUGCAGCAACAUGAAAACUGACAGAGGUGAGACAGCACAAGAGUUUUUGUUUAUUUUUGUAAUACGUUAAGGAAUUAAGUGAAGAACAGUGAUUAAUUAAAUUGUUUCUUGCAUUUUUGAUUUAAUGAUUGUGUUUAGGAUUAUUUCAGAAACAUGUUUAGAGGAUCUUUGUAAGCCUGUAUUUCCUUUAAAAGAAGGGAAGCACUUCUUCAUUCUACAGAAAAGGUGACACAUUACAGAUGAGUUCAUAAAAAGUGUCACUGUCACUCUUUCAAGGCUCUGUCACUUUUUCUUUUUUACUGGAACAGCAUGGUAAAGUAGGCCUAGGGUGCCAUCUUGUGGCAGUGUGUUGUUACUACAACAUAUGAAAUUGUGUUUCUAUUGGAAAUAUAAUUCAGCGUCACCGAGCCGCUCUCUCAGUUACAAACUGAACCUGUUUUUUUAGACAUAUAAAUCACUAAGCACAGUGAAGCUUUUGGUUUUGUCAAAGUGUUUCUUAUUCAAAAUGCAUGUUGAUUUUUAUAAGGUUGAAGAGCAGUUAGCAGUGCAUUCAUGGACAUCUUUAAACUAUUAAUUGAAGAAUCUUUGGUCAUGAUGGCAUGAACUAGAAACGUGAGCUCCAGGUGAGACUGCACAGAAGAACAAGUGUCCUUAAACUGCAUCAGCUGAUGACUUCUUACAAUUUUACUCUUAUUCUAAUCUUAAUGUUUGGUUUAUUUCGGUGUUUUAUUUGUUCCUGAGCAAAUCAGUUUGGCUGAGAUUAAAGUUCAGCUUCAUAACCAGACUGUUUUAUUUAAUUUUAAAGUCUUACUUGGAGAGCUGUCAGUAGAUUUUAAACUGAAUAUUUCACCUGUCGUAUCUCCUGAUGAAAAAUGUUCUCUUCUAAUGUAAACAGCUGACUCUGAAUUACAUUUAACAU